CGCAGCCGCGGUAAUUCCAGCUCCAAUAGCGUAUAUUAAAGUUGUUGCAGUUAAAAAGCUCGUAGUUAAAUUUCGGGAUCAAUUUGUUGGUCGUGCCUCGGUACGUACUGGCAUUAUUGGUUUCUACCUUCUGAAGAACCUUGAUGUCAUUAAUUUGGUGUCUUGGGGAAUCAGGACUGUUACUUUGAAAAAAUUAGAGUGUUUAAAGCAGGCAUACGCUUGAAUACAUUAGCAUGGAAUAAUGAAAUAGGACGUUUGAUUCUAUUUUGUUGGUUUCUAGGAUCGACGUAAUGAUUAAUAGGGAUAGUUGGGGGCAUUAGUAUUCAACUGUCAGAGGUGAAAUUCUUGGGAUUUAUUGGAAGACUAACUACUGCGAAAGCAUUUGCCAAGGAUGUUUUCAUUAAUUAAGAACGAAAGUUAGGGGAUCGAAGACGAUCAGAUACCGUCGUAGUCUUAACCAUAACUAUGCCGACUAGGGAUCGGAUGAUGUUAUUUUUAAUGUACUCUAUUCGGCGCCGUU
RNAcentral lists this ribosomal RNA (520 nucleotides) under uncultured Glomus. RNAcentral's name for it is "SSU rRNA". It matches the Rfam family "Eukaryotic small subunit ribosomal RNA", at positions 569 to 1090 of the family's 1831-position model. The record is from RNAcentral. Lineage: Eukaryota; Fungi; Glomeromycota; Glomeromycetes; Glomerales; Glomeraceae.